Molecule: long non-coding RNA, 430 nt
Organism: Oncorhynchus mykiss (rainbow trout)
Lineage: Eukaryota; Metazoa; Chordata; Actinopteri; Salmoniformes; Salmonidae
Source: RefSeq, a predicted model, not a curated record
UCCUCCUGUCUCUUAGCUUCACCUCUCCACCUGAGAAGGUAUCAUCACUAACUUCUCUAAGCUUCACCUCUGUGACUCCAACUGAGGUAUACUGACGAGGAGGCACACAAACGUAUGUGCAAUUGGUGUUGGUUUGCUGCAUAAUGUUAUGCAGAUCACGUGUAUCAUCUACAGUUAAUUGUAAUGGUUUCUCGAAAACCUUGUAGGACUCUUCAAUGAAGAUCCCAAAGGACUCUCUACAUUAUGGACAAGGAAACCUGUUCGAUCACCAUGCACUGCAAAAGGAUUCUGGCUAUGGAUAGCAUACAGAGGACGUUCAACACAUUAACAUCAACAUGCAAGGUGAUGUAACCAUUGGACUUGGGGCUGUGCUGGGAGAUGACCUCAUAUUUGGAUUUUAAAAUAUUGCUUUGCCAUUAAAAUUAUAAUA